This 69-nucleotide transfer RNA is filed under the name Amaranthus hypochondriacus (grain amaranth). Its description in RNAcentral is "tRNA-Ala". RNAcentral also lists the same sequence under 5 other names. The record is from RNAcentral. Lineage: Eukaryota; Viridiplantae; Streptophyta; Magnoliopsida; Caryophyllales; Amaranthaceae.
GGGGAUAUAGCUCAGUUGGUAGAGCGCCGCUCUUGCAAUCCAGGCGGUAAUGAUAGUAUCUUGUACCUG